Molecule: long non-coding RNA, 1155 nt
Filed under: Apteryx haastii (Great spotted kiwi)
Lineage: Eukaryota; Metazoa; Chordata; Aves; Apterygiformes; Apterygidae
Description: lncRNA (ENSAHAG00000006714.1)
Source: RNAcentral
AUGGCCAAGCCGCCGAUCCGGCCCGCUUGCUGGAACUUUUCCACCGGCGGCGUGGUGCCAAGGACAAGACCUGACGGAUUUUUAUUUUAUUUUUUAUUUUAUUUAUUUUUAUUUUAUUCCCGCUCCAAAUCGCUAGCACGCCGUCGGAAUAGCGGCAGCGGUGCCCACCCGCAGAGCCGCUGCCCCCGCAGCGCCCCAGGCCCCGGGGCAGGGCAGCACCCGCCGCGCAGCCCCGCCGGGGCCACCGAGCCGGGACUCGGGGCUCCGCACCCGCGCAGGUGCCCCCCCCCCGCGGAGAUGCCCCCCACUCACUUGUGCCUUCUUCAUAAGGAACGGCAGCGCUGCAGUCCAGCCCAGCCAGCCGCGUGCAAACUCCUUUCAGCGGAACCGUGGCUCCAGCAUAAUGCAGCAGCCGAUAGUCCACGCAUUGGCGUUGCCCACGGCGAGCCCCGCUGCCUGCCGCGCCGCCCCUCUCCCCACGGCCCGAGCGCACGCACUGACUGGAGCCGCCGCCGGCCCCCGGCCAGGUCUUUUAUACCUCCGAUCUGCCUCCCGCAGCGGCGGCGGCGACGGCUGCAGCGGCGGCGGCAGCCCCGGCAGGACACGCCUUUCCCCUCCCUCCCUCCCGCCUCCCUCCGUCUCCUCCUAGAGCGCCCGGGAGCCGAGGCAGCUCCCGCAGGGAGGGGGAGGCCCGAGCAAACUUCAGGGACGCGAAAGGCGGCAGGGGGCCAAGCCCGCCGCGGGGCAGCGCCGCCGCGCCGCCCGCCCGCCGCGGCCGCCCCGCGCCGCCCCCUGACGGCGGGGCGGCGGCGCCUUGCCGCCCUGGGCGCGCGCGGCGGGGCGCGGCGGCGGCGGCGGCGGCCUCGGCGGCGGCGGCCUCGGCGACGGCCUCGGCGACGGCCUCGGCGGCGGCGGCUUCUUUCCCGCGCUGGGCGCGUGGGGCCGGCGACCCCAACGGCCCGCCGCGGCCGUUGGUGCUGCCGGGGCCGCGCUGCUGGGCUUUCCCGUGGCGGGGUGGUGGUGCCUUGUGGAGGCGCCUCGCCUGUCGGGUCACUCGAAGUCACUUUGGGUGCCGGCAUGGGACAAAUGGCCAGUACUUUAAGAGGGGCACCUAUUCUACAUAUAUGCGUGAAGCACCCAGUGGAAAGCUGCUAA